CACCAUAUUCUGGUCAUUAUCUGA
This 24-nucleotide non-coding RNA is filed under the name Arabidopsis thaliana (thale cress). The record is from RNAcentral. Lineage: Eukaryota; Viridiplantae; Streptophyta; Magnoliopsida; Brassicales; Brassicaceae.